AGAGUUUGAUCCUGGCUCAGGAUGAACGCUAGCGGGAGGCCUAACACAUGCAAGUCGAACGGGAUUGAGAGCUUGCUCUCAUGAGAGUGGCGCACGGGUGAGUAACGCGUAUGCAACCUACCUACAACUGAGGGAUAGCCCAUAGAAAUGUGGAUUAAUACCUCAUAGUUCUUUUGAUCCGCAUGGAUUAAAAGAUAAAGCUCCGGCGGUUAUAGAUGGGCAUGCGUGACAUUAGCUAGUUGGUAAGGUAACGGCUUACCAAGGCUACGAUGACUAGGGGUUCUGAGAGGAUGAUCCCCCACACUGGUACUGAGACACGGACCAGACUCCUACGGGAGGCAGCAGUGAGGAAUAUUGGUCAAUGGGCGCAAGCCUGAACCAGCCAUCCCGCGUGCAGGAUGAAGGCCCUAUGGGUCGUAAACUGCUUUUAUACACCAAGAAAAACACCCACGUG
RNAcentral lists this ribosomal RNA (454 nucleotides) under uncultured bacterium. RNAcentral describes it as "bacterial SSU rRNA". It matches the Rfam family "Bacterial small subunit ribosomal RNA", at positions 8 to 467 of the family's 1533-position model. The record is from RNAcentral.